AGGUUACUGCUAUCGGUGUUCGCCUAAGCCAUGCGAGUCAUAUGUUCGUAAGAACAUGGCGUACUGCUCAGUAACACGUGGAUAACCUGCCCUUGGGUCCGGCAUAACCCCGGGAAACUGGGGAUAAUUCCGGAUAACGCACAUAUGCUGGAAUGCUUUAUGCGUAAAAUGGAUUCGUCUGCCCAAGGAUGGGUCUGCGGCCUAUCAGGUAGUAGUGGGUGUAAUGUACCUACUAGCCUACGACGGGUACGGGUUGUGAGAGCAAGAGCCCGGAGAUGGAUUCUGAGACAUGAAUCCAGGCCCUACGGGGCGCAGCAGGCGCGAAAACUUUACAAUGCGGGAAACCGUGAUAAGGGGACACCGAGUGCCAGCAUCCUAUGCUGGCUGUCCGGGUGUGUAAAAUACACCUGUUAGCAAGGGCCGGGCAAGACCGGUGCCAGCCGCCGCGGUAACACCGGCGGCCCGAGUGGUGAUCGUGAUUAUUGGGUCUAAAGGGUCCGUAGCCGGUUUGGUCAGUCCUCCGGGAAAUCUGACAGCUUAACUGUUAGGCUUUCGGAGGAUACUGCCAGACUUGGAACCGGGAGAGGUAAGAGGUACUACAGGGGUAGGAGUGAAAUCUUGUAAUCCCUGUGGGACCACCUGUGGCGAAGGCGUCUUACCAGAACGGGCUCGACGGUGAGGGACGAAAGCUGGGGGCACGAACCGGAUUAGAUACCCGGGUAGUCCCAGCCGUAAACGAUGCUCGCUAGGUGUCAGGCAUGGCGCGACCGUGUCUGGUGCCGCAGGGAAGCCGUGAAGCGAGCCACCUGGGAAGUACGGCCGCAAGGCUGAAACUUAA
This 838-nucleotide ribosomal RNA is filed under the name uncultured archaeon. Its description in RNAcentral is "bacterial SSU rRNA". It matches the Rfam family "Archaeal small subunit ribosomal RNA", at positions 21 to 859 of the family's 1478-position model. The record is from RNAcentral.